This 659-nucleotide long non-coding RNA is filed under the name Manihot esculenta (cassava). RNAcentral describes it as "long non-coding RNA (MESC_LNC004210)". Lineage: Eukaryota; Viridiplantae; Streptophyta; Magnoliopsida; Malpighiales; Euphorbiaceae. The record is from RNAcentral.
CUCACGACCUCUGAGGAGGCUGGAACGGAUCUAAACCCUUCAGCAGGCGUCGAGGUCGAGCUCGACCCACCAUGGCUAGAUGACCGAGUUGAUUUGGUGCUGCGAGAGCUCGGCUUGGAAGUUCAAGAAGAGGCUUUGACGGGAGGUCGGCUGAUCUUCUUGGAGGAAGCGGCCUGAGCCAGCUCUGUAGCAAUCUCAGUUACAGAACGCCCAUCCCCAAAGGCGUCAAAAAUUGCAUGCAUGUUCUCCCGAGACAGGUCAAAAUUCUUGGGGAAUUUGAUGCCAUCCAUUCUAACCUCAGACGCUGCAAGAAACAAGAAGUUAUAAAGAGUCAGCAUACUUCCUGAUAUCAUGAGCAAAGAAGAAACAGAAUAGCCGGACAAAGCACUAUACCCGUGUCCCGGAUAUCCCUAAGGUUGGACGCAAACAUACACUUCUCGACAUCAUACUUCCUCUCAACGGAAGUCAGUCGAAGCAACCCGACCUGCUCAAUAAAACUCAAUUCGGGCAGAUCGUUGCAGCCCGGAAAGAUCUCCCCCCACCUUAGGUCCACCUCCCAUGAUCGGCAGGACCCUAAUUUCAACUCCGCCACAAGGAAAUUCUCUACCCAUCCCUUUAUAGAAUCCUUGUAGCCCGUAAGAAGAGACAGCCCAUUACGG